Molecule: ribosomal RNA, 463 nt
Filed under: Streptococcus sp. oral taxon 058
Lineage: Bacteria; Bacillati; Bacillota; Bacilli; Lactobacillales; Streptococcaceae
Description: bacterial SSU rRNA
Rfam family: Bacterial small subunit ribosomal RNA
Source: RNAcentral
GACGAACGCUGGCGGCGUGCCUAAUACAUGCAAGUAGAACGCUGAAGGAAGGAGCUUGCUCUUUCCGGAUGAGUUGCGAACGGGUGAGUAACGCGUAGGUAACCUGCCUGGUAGCGGGGGAUAACUAUUGGAAACGAUAGCUAAUACCGCAUAAUAUUGAUUAUUGCAUGAUAGUCAAUUAAAAGGUGCAAUUGCAUCACUACCAGAUGGACCUGCGUUGUAUUAGCUAGUUGGUGGGGUAACGGCUCACCAAGGCGACGAUACAUAGCCGACCUGAGAGGGUGAUCGGCCACACUGGGACUGAGACACGGCCCAGACUCCUACGGGAGGCAGCAGUAGGGAAUCUUCGGCAAUGGACGGAAGUCUGACCGAGCAACGCCGCGUGAGUGAAGAAGGUUUUCGGAUCGUAAAGCUCUGUUGUAGGAGAAGAACGAGUGUGAGAGUGGAAAGUUCACACCGGACG